GUCUGCAAUUAAAUGCAUCUAGUCAGAUCUUAACGCAUCGUGGAGCUGAAGACCUGUUGAUUCUGUUCAUCCUUUAUCGUUUUUUCAAACGAGAAACACGAUUUUCUGUGGAAAUUUCCCCAUCAGGCGUUUCUGCUGAGACUGGCUCAGAAGAAGAAGGGCGCGGAUCGGAUUCUCUGGAAAACAAUCAUGUGAGGGAGCGCAAACAGAGAAGAAGGAGCGAAUUAGUUUUCAGACAGCCUCUAAUGAUGCCGUCAUCGAUUUCAGAGAGGAGUUGCGUUCCUCUUUUUUAGGCGGCGUGCCGGACGCUGAGCGGCUGUGCGUCUUGGAGAGGGCAGGGAGACGCGCAGCAUCAGCACCAACAUCAGCAGCUCCUCACAGUCUGCCCGGGUUCGGAUCAUCCACACACACCGACCACCUCCAUCUCUGCGUCUCUCCCUAAGAUCCCAUCAAGUCAUGUCUGAAACAGAGCGAUGGGCAAGUUCGACGACAACGAGAGGAUAAUCCUCAACGUCGGGGGCACCAGGCACGAAACCUACAAAAGCACCCUAAAGACCCUGCCGGGGACCCGACUGGCCCUCCUCGCCUCCGAUUCGGACAUCGACUCCGUCCUGGAUCAGCUGCAACAAGUCCCCGGCUUCAUCGAGUACAACGCGAGGACCAACGAGUACUUUUUCGACCGCCACCCAGGCGUCUUCGCCUACGUGCUCAACUACUACCGCACCGGGAAGCUCCACUGCCCGGCGGACGUGUGCGGACCGCUGUUCGAAGAGGAGCUCUCUUUCUGGGGCAUAGAUGAGACGGAUGUGGAGCCCUGCUGCUGGAUGACCUACCGGCAGCACCGGGACGCGGAGGAGGCGUUGGACGUAUUCGAGCUCAACGUGGACAACGGGGAGGAGGACGACGAGAUUGGGAAGAGGCUGGGGAUCGAGGACCUGGCCGCGGAGGGGAAUGUCAGCCUGUGGAGGAAGUGGCAGCCUGUGAUCUGGAACCUGUUCGAGGAUCCCUAUUCAUCCAGGGCGGCGCGGUUUAUUGCCUUUGCAUCUUUGUUCUUCAUCCUGGUCUCCAUCACCACAUUCUGCUUGGAGACCCAUGAGGCUUUCAACAAAAUCAUCAACAAGACUGACGUAUGGAACGGCAGCGAGCCCGACCCAAUUCCACAGUACGAGAUUGAAACUGAUCCUGCGCUCACGUAUGUGGAGGGCGUUUGUGUGUUCUGGUUCACCAUCGAGUUUCUCGUUCGUGUGACCUUCUGCCCUGUAAAGUUGGAGUUUGUCAAGAGUGUUCUCAACAUCAUUGACUUUGUGGCUAUUCUGCCCUUUUACCUGGAGGUAGGGCUGAGUGGCCUUUCUUCAAAGGCCGCCAAAGAUGUGUUGGGUUUUCUCAGGGUCGUGCGCUUUGUUCGUAUUCUGCGCAUCUUCAAGCUAACACGCCAUUUUGUAGGGCUAAGGGUGCUGGGCCAUACAUUGCGAGCCAGCACUAAUGAAUUCCUGCUGCUAAUCAUCUUCCUGGCCUUGGGAGUGUUGAUUUUUGCCACCAUGAUAUAUUAUGCUGAAAGAAUUGGUGCCAAGCCCAAUGACCCCACGGCCACCAACCACACCAAGUUCAAGAACAUCCCCAUUGGCUUCUGGUGGGCAGUGGUGACCAUGACUACUUUAGGCUAUGGAGAUAUGUAUCCAGAGACCUGGUCAGGCAUGGUGGUGGGAGCGUUGUGUGCUUUAGCUGGUGUACUGACGAUAGCCAUGCCUGUGCCGGUUAUCGUCAAUAACUUUGGGAUGUACUACUCUUUGGCCAUGGCAAAGCAGAAGCUGCCCAAGAAAAGGAAGAAACACAUCCCUCAGGCAGUACAAGGAAGUUCUCCAACGUACUGUAAAGGUGACCUCAACACGACUUGCAACAGCACUCAAGGUGACAUGUGCCAUGUCAAAGGGGGUAGAUUACUAGAACGCAAUCGUUCAGUUCUGUCAGCGGACUGCAGCGCUGGCAGCGACCUGAGCAUGUCUCCGGAGGAGAUAGUCCCCAUGCGAAGGUCCAGUUCACGGGAACAUGACCGCCGGAGUGGGGGGACAUGCUUCCUCCUUGCUGCUAGUGACUAUACGUGCCCUGCUGAUGGAGGGAUGAGAAAAGCAGGUAACUGCAUGUGCUAUGAGAAAUCCCGGAGCUUAACCAACAUUGCUGGCAUAGCUGGUAACACCCUGAGGUUGUCUCCUGUGAACUCACCCUACGGAUCACCCUGCCCACUACGCCGCUCUCGCUCCCCUAUCCCAUCCAUCCUGUGAGGCCUCCAGCCCAUGGUUGCUCAACAUGCUCCCCCUAAAAGAACAUGCUUCCUUCACAUUGUGUCUGAAAUCUACAUAAUAAUGAGACUAGAACAAACAUUGCUCACAUUGCAGCAGAGACUAAUGUUCAUAGGCUGGCAAUCUUAGCGGAAGGAACGUGUGUUAACAUCCUUAAGUAACAUGAUUGUUCUGCUUUGUCACUUGGAGUUCUCUUUAGUUCAAUGGCUUUGUAAUUUUGGACAUGCAAUAAAGGAGCCCUGACUGAAGUAGCAGCCAUAAACACAUGGAACUAUAUUACUAAUCAGGGAUAUUAGAUGUCGCUAUAUUUAGAAAAUCAUCAACAAAGAUGUGCUUCCAGGAACAAAAAAAAAGAGAGAUGUCACAGCAUUUAAAACCAGACAUGACUGUAAGUUUGUUUUUAUGAUUUAAGUUUUAUUUUGGGGUUUGAAAUGUGAUCGAUGGGUGUAAAGACACCAAGGGUGUAGAAGUUUCAGACCGAACCAGCACAGAGAGCUGGGACUGCUCACAUUUGAGCAUGAAUCUAAUUUUGCAAAUCAAACAAAGCUGGGAAAAUGGCUGGAAAAAGAUUGGGGAUCAAUAUGCACAUAUAUACUGCUUUUUUGUUUUGUUUUUCGGUUGUUGUUUUUUUUUUUUUUAUGAUGUUGGGUUUAUGUAAUAGUUUUCUUUCUUUCCACUGAGUGCCACCAAACUUGCUGUGUUUCUAAUUGUUUACUGGCAGAUAACUGCAAAGAGGUGGUGUUUACUGGUUUCACACAAGCAGAGAGCAGCGUUCUAUCUUAAUGGCUUUGGGAGACGGAAACCACCAUGGCAGACAGUGGGAUAAGACUGUCAUCAGUAAUGAUGACCUAUUGCAGCGGGAGACCCCCUAUUCGGAGCCGGGAGGCCACUGCUACAGGACAACAUGGAGGAGCCUGCACACAAGCUCAUGACUGACAGCAAACCCAGCUUAAUGUUCUGCCAACAAGAGAGGGACUUCUUUGUAAGACAAACAAAACAAAAAAAACUUGGGAGGACUUUACUAUGUUAAGCUCUCUCACAUUUAUUCUGACUUCUCAUUUUUUUUUUCUGUUCCUGCUUUGGAAUUGGAGGGGGAAAAAAAUGGUCCUUAAAGAGAAACUUUAUGUAAUAGACAUUGCUCCUGUACAUUAAACAACUGCAGCACAUCUGGGCCAAGUGGUUCUAUCCACACAUUUGUCUUUUGAUGGUGAGUCAGGUAUCAAGAUGGAUGGUAUGGUAGCUACGUAGUGUCGUAACACGCGACAUUUAUCACGUUUCUAGCUGUGGUAUCUCCUUCCCAUUGCAAUAAGUGUAUUAAGAUGUAUCAGUUGAGGCACUUUGUGUUUUGAAAAUGGAGCGUAAUCGUACUCUGCUUAAGGUAUAUACAGUGUAGAGAGACAUAAUGUGCUAAGUUGAAUAAAUACAACAUCACAGUCAUCUCUGCCUAUUUAUUAUUUGAUAGGCCCUGUCCACACUACCACAGAUAUUUAAAAAGAAACAGUUUUUUUUCUUUGGGUAUGCUUUCUAUUCUAUGCUAUAGUGAGUUUUUAUUGUAAUGAAAAAAGUACUGAUUAAACCAGUUUGGGUAUAAAGAUGCAAACUUUAACUUAAAAUAUGUGAAGUAUGGAUUUCAAUGCCAGAAACUUCUGCAUGUCACUUUUAGCCUAUCACUAGUUCAUACCUCACUCCAGAACUACACAUAGCCUAAACCUGUUUUUCUACAACAUUGUUUAUUUAGAUCCUAAAAGACAUACUUCAUUUUUUAUGUUGUAUUUAAGUCAUUACAUAAGUUAUUACAUUACAUUUUAAAGGCUUUAUUUUAGUCCCUCCAGUGAGUUUGGGCCUGCUUCAAGAUCUCCAACCAGUGGGACAUGGAGCAAGCUCCUUUAGUACUGUAUGUACUGUAUGUAGUACUGUCUUGUUCUUUCAUUCGUAAUCCAUUUUAUGGGUAUAAGGUAAUGGCCAGAGCUUUUAAAGGCUUGUAAAUCAAAAAGUUAAUUUUCUACCACAAUGGAAUGAAGAUGCACUUGCACACAUUGCGCACUCCAGUAAAGCAAGGGGCUAUGUCAUGUGGUCCUUUGGCCAUUGGAAAGGCCAUGCCAAACUGCCCUCAAGUUAGACGACAUAUAAAGGCUCCAUCAUCUUACCGCUUGUUCCCUAAUGGGGUCAGCAGACUGGAGCCCGGUAGUCAAUGGGCGAGAGGUCCGCCAGGCCAUCCCAGGGCCACACGCAAAGACAAACAACCACGCACACUCACUUGCAAUUUCGAAUCAACCUAACCUGCAGGUUUUUUUGUAUGAACCCAAAGAAAACCCAUGCAGACACAGGGAGAACAUGCAAACUCCACACAGAAAGGUCCUGGUUCCCCCUGUAAUCAAACCCAGAACCCUCUUGCUGUAAGGCACUGGUGUUAACCACCACACUACCGUGCCACCCGUAUAAAGGUCCAUUUGAAGACUUUCAUAAGGGUUCAGUAUGGAUGAUGUCGUUAAAUUACAAGAAGCCCCAUUCAGUUAUGUCAAACCACCGCAGGAAGGGGUGUAGAUUGAUUACAACGGGAACCGUGUAGCAAGGACCUUAAAUCCAAAUUUCUUUAUCCCAAUUCAUGUAAAACACGAUUUAUCUCCUGGUGAACUGACUUAUCAAAGAUGUUGUUCAUGAUCUUUGAUAAAACACAUAUAGCUUUACAGAAACAGCUGUUGGGAGACGCUGUAAAUGGAAUCAUAUGACCCAGUUUUCUUCUAGAUAAUAAGCAAAUUAUAAAAAAAAUAUAAAUAUCAGUUUUUCAAAACAAAUAUUAAACCAUCGCCUAUUAAAAAGGGCAAAAUGACAGUUAACAAUGCAAAUGGAUGGUUAUAAUUUCUGAAAAAGGCAUGUCCUAGAUGAUGAAAAGAUGGCAUAACUUUGGAAUUCCUUGGGAAAAUAAGGACUUAAUUGAUUUAAUAUUUUCUAAUCUUUAUCACUUUCCUCGAGCUAUAUAGCUAUUAAAUUAAAUUGUUUUAGCCUAUCACUUCUUUAAACAUGCUCAUAAUCUCCUUUCAUUUUUUUUUUUUUUUUUCAUGUAGCAAUGUUGACAAUUUUCCCAACCUAUUGUUGCAAUAGGUUGCUCAAUCUGCUGAUUGAAGAAGAAAAAAAACUCUGUUUAAAAAUAUCUUGUGUGGUGUAGCAGGGCCUCGGUAGAUUCAGUGCUCUACUGUAUGUAAAUGUGAGUGUGUAUGUUUAUCCGUGUCCAAAAUACUCUUGGUUGAAAGCUGCAGUUUGAAACACUAGAUCAUGGAAGACCAAGUGGACCUGAUGCUAAAUCUUCCAGUUAGUUUUAGCACAAACCUGAAUGAGACAGAGCUCCCCCUGUGAUGCAGCUGCCAUUAUAGAAGCCCCAACUCCCUACCCCCCUUUUUAUGCAUUUAGUGCUGCUCAUUUCUCUCUCUUUGCAAACCAAAUUUAUUAUUCCUCAUAAUCUCUGGUUGCUACAGAAGAAAAAAAAAACUGCAUGACUUGAUUCUUCCAAGCUUUGUUUCACCCUUAACCCCUCUGUAUGGGGACGGAGCAAAAGUGUAGCAUAAAUUGACCACGUCCCUAAGUGGGACUUAUGCGGUACACAUCUGCACCGUAGCAAUCCUGUGUACCCACACAAUCAGAUCCGAUUUGCAAUAAGCAAAACGAAAAAAGCACCGACCCGCACUGUGACUUCAGCAGCCAGUUAAAGCAGGAAUGCAAAAGGAGAAGCGAGAAAAUUAAAUAAGCCCCAAUACAGGCUGUUGGUAGCGACCUGCAAAGUUAUAGGCUAGUUGUUGAAGUAUCAGCCCGUACACACAAUCCUCCUUGUGUAGUAACCACGCUGCUUUACUCUUUUGAAUUGUCAAAAGAGAACCAUUCUUGUGUACUUCUAAGAUUAUAUUGUGACUUGAAAAAAAAAAAAAAAAAUGUGUUUAUUUUUUUGAAUCCAGAACAUGUAUUUUUGUGUCUUACUGUUGACUACAUUGCUCUGAACGGUAAAAGUCAUGGUAGUCUGAUGGUGUGCUUCUCCAUUGUGUGUUCAAACUGUUCAAGCUUUAGAUCCAAGGUUACAUUUUGUACGUUUUACCGUGUGGAGAAACUCUAGUUUUAAGUGUGUAUUUGUGGAGCUUUUUGUUGUCAUUCUAAAAUGCAUGCUAAAAAAAAAUGAAUCACUAUGUCAAACUGUACAAAAAAAGAGAUGACCUACUGUAUAUCACGCUGUGUAUAGAAUUAAGGUAAAUGCUAUG
Molecule: RNA transcript, 6541 nt
Organism: Cyprinodon variegatus (sheepshead minnow)
Lineage: Eukaryota; Metazoa; Chordata; Actinopteri; Cyprinodontiformes; Cyprinodontidae
Gene: kcnc2
Gene name: potassium channel, voltage gated Shaw related subfamily C, member 2
Exons: 5
Source: RefSeq, a predicted model, not a curated record